Molecule: long non-coding RNA, 300 nt
Filed under: Malus domestica (apple)
Lineage: Eukaryota; Viridiplantae; Streptophyta; Magnoliopsida; Rosales; Rosaceae
Description: long non-coding RNA (MDOM_LNC020067)
Source: RNAcentral
CGUAUUGCAUUUGUAAUCCUAAACUGAAUAGGUUCUCUACCUCUUCUGAUUAGCUUGGGUAACCAUGAUAUGCUACUAGGUGUCACUCAUGGUUUGUGGAAGCCCUAAACGUGUAUAAUCACUAAAGGGAGAAUUGAAAGUAUGUUUCAAUUCACAAUCGGUUUGAAAGAGUUCUAAUCGCCCAAUGCCUCGCUAAAAGGAACCUAAUGGAUCAUACACCGUGUAAGGUAAAGAUUGAAGAAACAAUGGAGAUGAGUAAGAAUAAUUAAAUGGUUUAAUUAUUUAUGGCAAGGAUUAAUU